This 279-nucleotide unclassified non-coding RNA is filed under the name fungal sp. RNAcentral describes it as "partial internal transcribed spacer region". The stretch from base 1 to 46 matches the Rfam family "Eukaryotic small subunit ribosomal RNA", at positions 1786 to 1831 of the family's 1831-position model. The record is from RNAcentral. Lineage: Eukaryota; Fungi.
AAGUCGUAACAAGGUUUCCGUAGGUGAACCUGCGGAAGGAUCAUUACCAAAUCCAAAAAUCAUAUACCACUUUUUUGUGGGAACUAUUGAAAAUUGUCUUUUUGUCUUUUGAGGGGGAUAUAAUAAGUUGAUUCUUGUUUUCCCCCCUCAAAAGCAUGUAUAGAAAUUCCGAAUUUUACGGCUUUUUUCUAUAUUUGUUAACUACUUUUUAUAUUAUAUUUGGAAUUUUGUAAAUAAAAAUUGUGAAACAACUUUUAACGGUGGAUCUCUUGGCUCGUG